CCGAGCGUCAUUUCACCACUCCAGCCUCGCUGGGCCUUGGGCGUCGCCGCGUGUCGGCGCGCCCCAAUGUCUCCGGCUGAGCCGUCCGUCUCAAAGCGUUGUGGCAACUCAAUCCGCUCGAGGGAUCGGACGGUUUGACGCCGUCAAACCACCAUACAAAGGUUGACCUCGGAUCAGGUAGGGAUACCCGCUGAACUUAA
RNAcentral lists this unclassified non-coding RNA (200 nucleotides) under soil metagenome. RNAcentral's name for it is "partial contains internal transcribed spacer 2 and large subunit ribosomal RNA". The record is from RNAcentral.